GAAGCUUCUACGGUCAUAUGAAGUUGUUGUAGCAAAGUGAUUUUUUCUUCUUUUUGCUGAUUCGGAGAUGCAUUG
Molecule: non-coding RNA, 75 nt
Organism: Arabidopsis suecica
Lineage: Eukaryota; Viridiplantae; Streptophyta; Magnoliopsida; Brassicales; Brassicaceae
Source: the annotation of a GenBank genome assembly